CACCUUGUGAGAAAUCAUGAGUGUU
This 25-nucleotide unclassified non-coding RNA is filed under the name Dictyostelium discoideum. The record is from RNAcentral. Lineage: Eukaryota; Evosea; Eumycetozoa; Dictyosteliales; Dictyosteliaceae.